UAGUAAGUCAGUGGUGUAAUGGCAACGCUUAACGUUGUCCGGGCUAUUGAAACUGCUAAACUUGAGUUAGAUAGAGGCGAGUGGAAUUCCAUGUGUAGCGGUAAAAUGCGUAAAUAUAUGGAGGAACACCAGAGGCGUAGGCGGCUCGCUGGGUCUUAACUGACGCUGAGGCACGAAAGCGUGGGGAGCAAACAGGAUUAGAUACCCUGGUAGUCCACGCCGUAAACGAUGAAGUACUAAGUGUCGGGGUUUAACCCCGGUACUGAAGUUUAACACAUUAAGUACUCCCGCCUUGAGUAGUACCGUACGCAAGUAUGAAACUUUAAAGGAAUUGACGGGACUCCGCACAAGCGGUGGAUCCAUGUUGUUUAAUUCGAAGAUACCCGAAAAACCUUACCAGGGUCUUUGACAUGUUUUUGGCAAAAUGAUAGUAAUAUCGUGGAGGUUACCAGAAACACAGGUGGUGCAUGGUUGUCGUCAGCUCGUGUCGUGAGAUGUUAGGUUAAGUCCUAAAACGAGCGAAACCCUUUAUCGUUUAGUUGCCAGCACGUUAUGGGGGGGGACUUUUAACCGAGCCCUGCCAAUGAUAAAUUGAAGAAAGGGUGAGGAUCACGGUCAAAUCAAGCAUGCCCCUUAUGACUUGGGCUACAAACGUGAUACAAUGGCUGUUACAAAGGGUAGCUGAAACGCAAGUUUUUGGCCAAUCCCCAAAAACAGUCCCAGUCCGGAUUGAAGUCUGCAACUCGACUUCAUGAAGUUGGAAUCGCUAGUAAUCGCGAAUCAGCAUGUCGCGGUGAAUACGUUCUCGGGGUUUGUACACACCGCCCGUCAAACCACGAAAGUUGGCAAUACCCCAAAACGGUAGCCUAACUCGUUUAUUCGAGAGGGCGCCGUCUAAGGUAGGGUCGAUGAUUGGGGUUAAGUCGUAACAAGGUAUCCCUACCGGAAGGUGGGGAUGGAUCA
This 963-nucleotide ribosomal RNA is filed under the name Australian lucerne yellows phytoplasma. RNAcentral's name for it is "bacterial SSU rRNA". It matches the Rfam family "Bacterial small subunit ribosomal RNA", at positions 581 to 1525 of the family's 1533-position model. Lineage: Bacteria; Bacillati; Mycoplasmatota; Mollicutes; Acholeplasmatales; Acholeplasmataceae. The record is from RNAcentral.